AUAUCAAUAAGCGGAGGAAAAGAAACUAACAAGGAUUCCCUUAGUAACUGCGAGUGAAGAGGGAAAAGCUCAAAUUUAAAAUCUGGCAGUGUUUCACUGUCCGAGUUGUAACCUAGAGAAGUGUAACCUGUGCUGGACCAUGUAUAAGUCUCCUGGAAUGGAGCAUCACAGAGGGUGAGAAUCCCGUCUUUGACAUGGACUACCAGUGCAUUGUGGUUGCGCUCUCAACGAGUCGAGUUGUUUGGGAAUGCAGCUCUAAAUGGGUGGUAAAUUCCAUCUAAAGCUAAAUAUUGGCGAGAGACCGAUAGCGAACAAGUACCGUGAGGGAAAGAUGAAAAGAACUUUGGAAAGAGAGUUAAACAGUAUGUGAAAUUGUUGAAAGGGAAACGUUUGAAGUCAGUCGCGUUGGUUGGGGAUCAGCCUGACACUGUUGGGUGUACUUCCUGGUUGACGGGCCAACAUCAGUUUUGACUGCCAGAAAAAGGCCAAAGGAAUGUGGCACCUUUGGGUGUGUUAUAGCCCUUGGUUGUAUAUGGUGGUUGGGACUGAGGAAAGCAGCGUGCCGAAAGGCCGGGUUUCUACCACGUUCACGCUGAGGAUGUUGGCAUAAUGGCUUUAAGCGA
This 623-nucleotide ribosomal RNA is filed under the name uncultured fungus. RNAcentral describes it as "eukaryotic LSU rRNA". It matches the Rfam family "Eukaryotic large subunit ribosomal RNA", at positions 40 to 647 of the family's 3401-position model. The record is from RNAcentral. Lineage: Eukaryota; Fungi.